This 297-nucleotide long non-coding RNA is filed under the name Manacus vitellinus (golden-collared manakin). Its description in RNAcentral is "lncRNA (ENSMVIG00005002667.1)". The record is from RNAcentral. Lineage: Eukaryota; Metazoa; Chordata; Aves; Passeriformes; Pipridae.
CAAGAAACCUGAAAAACAUUUGUUUCAUUCAGUACUUGUGCUUUGAGCAGCGCUGGAAAAUAACCUCUUAUGGAGUUUUCAGAACUUCCCCUGACUGGGAGCUGCUGGAGGGCAAAGACUAGGUCCACAGUCAGACACCUCAUCUUUUAGCCUGACAGAAAAUCAAGCUUCCAGUGGGCAAAUAGGGUUCUUCUGCCAAGGGGUUAGCAAGCAGUUACUGAGAAAGACAUGGACAGCAGGCAUCGCCAGGAGGGUAUUUCUCAGCACGGGGGAAUGACAAUCAAGAAAAAUGUCCUG